UGCAAGUCGAACGGCAGCACGGAGCUUGCUCUGGUGGCGAGUGGCGAACGGKURAGUAAUAUAUCGGAACGUACCCUGGAGUGGGGGAUAACGUAGCGAAAGUUACGCUAAUACCGCAUACGAUCUAAGGAUGAAAGUGGGGGAUUCGCAAGAACCUCAUGCUCCUGGAGCGGCCGAUAUCUGAUUAGCUAGUUGGUAGGGUAAAAGCCUACCAAGGCAUCGAUCAGUAGCUGGUCUGAGAGGACGACCAGCCACACUGGAACUGAGACACGGUCCAGACUCCUACGGGAGGCAGCAGUGGGGAAUUUUGGACAAUGGGGGCAACCCUGAUCCAGCAAUGCCGCGUGAGUGAAGAAGGCCUUCGGGUUGUAAAGCUCUUUUGUCAGGGAAGAAACGGUGUGAGCUAAUAUCUCAUGCUAAUGACGGUACCUGAAGAAUAAGCACCGGCUAACUACGUGCCAGCAGCCGCGGUAAUACGUAGGGUGCAAGCGUUAAUCGGAAUUACUGGGCGUAAAGCGUGCGCAGGCGGUUUUGUAAGACUGUCGUGAAAUCCCCGGGCUCAACCUGGGAAUGGCGAUGGUGACUGCAAGGCUAGAGUUUGGCAGAGGGGGGUAGAAUUCCACGUGUAGCAGUGAAAUGCGUAGAUAUGUGGAGGAACACCGAUGGCGAAGGCAGCCCCCUGGGUCAAAACUGACGCUCAUGCACGAGAGCGUGGGGAGCAAACAGGAUUAGAUACCCUGGUAGUCCACGCCCUAAACGAUGUCUACUAGUUGUCGGGUUUUAAUUAACUUGGUAACGCAGCUAACGCGUGAAGUAGACCGCCUGGGGAGUACGGUCGCAAGAUUAAAACUCAAAGGAAUUGACGGGGACCCGCACAAGCGGUGGAUGAUGUGGAUUAAUUCGAUGCAACGCGAAAAAY
RNAcentral lists this ribosomal RNA (919 nucleotides) under uncultured bacterium. RNAcentral's name for it is "bacterial SSU rRNA". It matches the Rfam family "Bacterial small subunit ribosomal RNA", at positions 56 to 969 of the family's 1533-position model. The record is from RNAcentral.